RNAcentral lists this ribosomal RNA (305 nucleotides) under uncultured bacterium. RNAcentral's name for it is "bacterial SSU rRNA". It matches the Rfam family "Bacterial small subunit ribosomal RNA", at positions 334 to 636 of the family's 1533-position model. The record is from RNAcentral.
GAGUCCUACGGGGGGCAGCAGUGAGGAAUAUUGGUCAAUGGGCGAGAGCCUGGACCAGCCAAGUCGCGUGAGGGAAGACGGUCCUAUGGAUUGUAAACCUCUUUUGCCGGGGAGCAAAAAGCGGUACGUGUACCGCAUCGAGAGUACCCGGAGAAAAAGCAUCGGCUAACUCCGUGCCAGCAGCCGCGGUAAUACGGAGGGCGCGAGCGUUAAUCGGAAUUACUGGGCGUAAAGCGCGCGUAGGCUGUUGUGUAAGUUGCGGGUGAAAUCCGACGGCUCACCCGCGGAACAGCCCUUGAUACUGC